AUAAAAUAAAACAGUAGGAUUUCUUGGCCCCUGAACUUCCUAUUCUCCAUCUAGCUCAGUGCCUGGUCCAUGGAGCACCUAUUUGUUGAAUGGAAGGAAAGAAUUACACAAGUCUAGGUAAAUUAGUAGAUGGGGAUUUGUGCUUAUGAAAAUUGUCCAAAGGAAAAGAAUUAUGGAGACUCCUGAAUUCUUAAAAGUGACAAUUUUCAGGCCCUGAGUACCAUUGUUCAGUUUCUCUGCUUAUAAAAUUGGUCACUGCCACUACUUUACAGGGUUAUCAUGAGAAACUUUUGACAAUGCAUGCUUGGUUUAGUGGAAAGCACAAAUUGAGUAUUAGCUACUUUAUUAAAGUAGAAUGACUGUCUAACGGACCCUUUGGGUUGUGACAACUUCAAUGCUGAGGCUGAGAGUGAAAGUUUCCAGCCCUGCGGUUUUGAUAUAUUGGCUUUGCCUUUUAGGUUGGCUCUUGUAUGCUAGAAAAAUCUCUGAACUUUGUAUUGUUUGUGAAAUGGAAUCUGGACCUCUUCAGAAGGCUUGAGUACAGGUGGGCAAGCAGAGGGCCUCCAUCUCAAAGGCAGAAAAACAUGAUCCAGGAUUUAAGACGGCAAAAGAUCACAUAACUCAGGUGUUCAGCACCAAUGCCCAAAGAGGACAAUGAGCCAGCCACCCACAUCUGGUACAACUUACCAUCCAAUUUCAGGUAAGCCUCCUUCCACUGCUUCACAAUAACUAACAAGCCUUCCAAUGCCCACUUCCACAAGCAGACUUUAGGUCUUUUUCAGGGCAAAAUGCCAUUUUUAUUGUAGUAUUUAUGUUUUGUAUUUCUGAAUCAUUUAACCUGUAUAGAACAGAGCUACCAUUUUUGCUAAAUUUCUCUCCUUUAAAAAAAUUGUCACUAAUGAAAAUUUUGAGUGUUACACCCUUACCUGCAUUUUUACCAUAAGCCCAAUGGCUUUUAUUGCACACUGUGGCGAUUUUUAGGAG
Molecule: long non-coding RNA, 984 nt
Filed under: Sus scrofa (pig)
Lineage: Eukaryota; Metazoa; Chordata; Mammalia; Artiodactyla; Suidae
Description: lncRNA (ENSSSCG00070015641.1)
Source: RNAcentral